RNAcentral lists this ribosomal RNA (497 nucleotides) under uncultured bacterium. RNAcentral's name for it is "partial 16S ribosomal RNA". It matches the Rfam family "Bacterial small subunit ribosomal RNA", at positions 28 to 507 of the family's 1533-position model. The record is from RNAcentral.
GAUGAACGCUGGCGGCGUGCCUAAUACAUGCAAGUCGAGCGAACAGACGAGGAGCUUGCUCCUCUGACGUUAGCGGCGGACGGGUGAGUAACACGUGGAUAACCUACCUAUAAGACUGGGAUAACUUCGGGAAACCGGAGCUAAUACCGGAUAAUAUAUUGAACCGCAUGGUUCAAUAGUGAAAGACGGUUUUGCUGUCGCUUAUAGAUGGAUCCGCGCCGCAUUAGCUAGUUGGUAAGGUAACGGCUUACCAAGGCAACGAUGCGUAGCCGACCUGAGAGGGUGAUCGGCCACACUGGAACUGAGACACGGUCCAGACUCCUACGGGAGGCAGCAGUAGGGAAUCUUCCGCAAUGGGCGAAAGCCUGACGGAGCAACGCCGCGUGAGUGAUGAAGGUCUUCGGAUCGUAAAACUCUGUUAUUAGGGAAGAACAAAUGUGUAAGUAACUAUGCACGUCUUGACGGUACCUAAUCAGAAAGCCCCGGCUAACUACGUG